This 372-nucleotide ribosomal RNA is filed under the name Pseudo-nitzschia fraudulenta. RNAcentral describes it as "partial Bacterial large subunit ribosomal RNA". It matches the Rfam family "Bacterial large subunit ribosomal RNA", at positions 22 to 449 of the family's 2925-position model. The record is from RNAcentral. Lineage: Eukaryota; Bacillariophyta; Bacillariophyceae; Bacillariales; Bacillariaceae.
UGGUGGAUGCCUUGGCGUCAAGAGGCGAUGAAAGACGUGGCACUCUGCGAUAAGCUACGGUGAGCCGAGAGCAGGCUUUGACCCGUAGAUUUCUGAAUGGGGAAACCCCACCCAAUAGGGUGAUCGUGUCGUGAAUACAUAGCGGCACGAGGCGAACCCGGGGAACUGAAACAUCUCAGUACCCGGAGGAAAGGACAUCAACCGAGACUCCGCUAGUAGUGGCGAGCGAACGCGGACCAGGCCAGUGGCUUGCAUUUAAGAACCGGAACCGUCUGGAAAGUCGGGCAUUAGUGGGUGAUAGCCCCGUACGGGUAGAAAUUAUGCAAGUCCUCGAGUAGGGCGGGACACGUGAAAUCCUGUCUGAACGUGGGG